GAUGAACGCUGGCGGCGUGCCUAAUACAUGCAAGUCGAGCGAACGGACGAGAAGCUUGCUUCUCUGAUGUUAGCGGCGGACGGGUGAGUAACACGUGGAUAACCUACCUAUAAGACUGGGAUAACUUCGGGAAACCGUAGCUAAUACCGGAUAAUAUUUUGAACCGCAUGGUUCAAAAGUGAAAGACGGUCUUGCUGUCACUUAUAGAUGGAUCCGCGCUGCAUUAGCUAGUUGGUAAGGUAACGGCUUACCAAGGCAACGAUGCAUAGCCGACCUGAGAGGGUGAUCGGCCACACUGGAACUGAGACACGGUCCAGACUCCUACGGGAGGCCGCAGUAGGGAAUCUUCCGCAAUGGGCGGAAGCCUGACGGAGCAACGCCGCGUGAGUGAUGAAGGUCUUCGGAUCGUAAAACUCUGUUAUUAGGGAAGAACAUAUGUGUAAGUAACUGUGCACAUCUUGACGGUACCUAAUCAGAAAGCCACGGCUAACUACGUG
Molecule: ribosomal RNA, 497 nt
Filed under: uncultured bacterium
Lineage: Bacteria
Description: partial 16S ribosomal RNA
Rfam family: Bacterial small subunit ribosomal RNA
Source: RNAcentral